CCGACCUUAGCUCAGUUGGUAGAGCGGAAGACUGUAGUAGUUGCUGUAAAUCUUUAGGUCGCUGGUUUGAUUCCGGCAGGUCGGA
This 85-nucleotide transfer RNA is filed under the name Arabidopsis lyrata subsp. lyrata. RNAcentral's name for it is "tRNA tRNA-Tyr". It matches the Rfam family "tRNA". From Rfam's summary of the family: Transfer RNA (tRNA) molecules are approximately 80 nucleotides in length. Their secondary structure includes four short double-helical elements and three loops (D, anti-codon, and T loops). Lineage: Eukaryota; Viridiplantae; Streptophyta; Magnoliopsida; Brassicales; Brassicaceae. The record is from Rfam by way of RNAcentral.